UGUUUUUUUCUUCCAAGGAGAAGCAGCUGAAAAGAAAGAAAACAGAGCGUUUUCAAUAAAGUCAAUGAGAAGAGUUAGUGGCCUAAUAUACUCUAUAAGUACAGUAUAAACCUCGAAGUAUUCGAAGUAUUCCUUUCACCACGAACCCAAAGACACAAAUCGGCAAUCACAUCCUCCUCUCACGACGUGUAAGAGGAACUAAAGGAAGGAACUCUUGUUUCCCCGGGGGUGCAAAAGGAGGUGACACACGGGUGGCACACCCACUGCCUUGUGGCUCAUCUCCACGGUCCGGGGUCAGAGAGCUCUCCGGGGGCAGCGGGAUCCCGGGGAUACGGGAAUCUUCCUCCGGGACGGAUUUCCUGCAGGCACAGGGCCCAGGGCCCACGGAGGAGGGAAAGCCGGGGGGCGACUGGCGAAGAGGGAGCUGGAACAGCACGAACCCCAGCGUGUGCCGGGAUCGCCGGCGUCCUCUGCCCGGUCCCGGGGGAAGGUGGCCAUUCCGGCACCGCCGCGAUCCAGACCCCUCCGUCCCAGCGGACACUGGGGAGGACAGCCUCAGUCCACCGCGCAGGACCAGGUCACCAGCCCCCCCCCGCCCCCCAGAGGAGCCUCUGUUUCAUCAUCGCUCUCCUGUUCCUGUCCAGCCUGCAGGACUUCCUGUUCCUGUUCCACCAGGGGUGUGAAUACAUCUGUACAUGUACUGUACUGUAGGCGAAUAUACAGUAAUACACACUGUACAUGUACUGUAGGUGAAUAUACAGUAAUACACACACACUGUACAUGUACUGUAGGUUUAUGUACAGUAAUACACACACACUGUACAUGUACAUACUGA
Molecule: long non-coding RNA, 835 nt
Filed under: Lepisosteus oculatus (spotted gar)
Lineage: Eukaryota; Metazoa; Chordata; Actinopteri; Semionotiformes; Lepisosteidae
Description: lncRNA (ENSLOCG00000021538.1)
Source: RNAcentral